CAUCGAUAAACAAAAGAUUACACCGGAAGUGAGCAUCCAUCUGAAGGGCGUGGACGUUCAACCCUACAAUGAAGUGAUUGACUAUAUAGAGACUCUAGGACAGGAUCCUAAAGCUAAAAUAUGGAUAACGCAGUACUGUAGCUAUGCUCUUCGAAUGGUUAUUCCUAAGGGUAGAUCCGUUACGGAUGAAUCUCCCAUUGCAUUUCCAAAAGCUGUCAAGAAUUACGUGGAAGUCGAGGGAAUGAAAAAAGCAAAUGUAACUUCUGAAUUCUUGAACCCAGAUUCUUCUCAGUUUUGCAACGGAAAAUUGCAGAAUCUGGAGACGAAUAUGCCUUUGAUUUGAUUGAUCAAAAAUUCCCAUUAUGCAUAUACGAUCCAGAUUCUAGGCCUCCCUCCAUUGUCUCUAACCAGAGACUUACAUUUCAACUGGGAAACUGAGAAGGACUAACCCGUAACUAAUUAAUGGUCUAUCGCUCAUACUGCGCUGUGAUUGG
This is a long non-coding RNA of Exaiptasia diaphana, 494 nucleotides long. RefSeq lists it as uncharacterized. Lineage: Eukaryota; Metazoa; Cnidaria; Anthozoa; Actiniaria; Aiptasiidae. The record is from RefSeq and is a predicted model, not a curated record. The transcript is spliced from 3 exons.